Molecule: ribosomal RNA, 603 nt
Filed under: Phormidium boryanum BDUMBMG_CB001
Lineage: Bacteria; Bacillati; Cyanobacteriota; Cyanophyceae; Oscillatoriales; Oscillatoriaceae
Description: bacterial SSU rRNA
Rfam family: Bacterial small subunit ribosomal RNA
Source: RNAcentral
GAACGGCGGCUAAUACCGGAUGAGCCGAAAGGUAAAAGAUUUAUCGCCCUUCGAGGAGCUCGCGUCCGAUUAGCUAGUUGGUGAGGUAAAAGCUCACCAAGGCAGCGAUCGGUAGCUGGUCUGAGAGGAUGAGCAGCCACACUGGGACUGAGACACGGCCCAGACUCCUACGGGAGGCAGCAGUGGGGAAUUUUCCGCAAUGGGCGCAAGCCUGACGGAGCAAUACCGCGUGAGGGAGGAAGGUUCUUGGGUUGUAAACCUCUUUUCUCAGGGAAGAAGUUCUGACGGUACCUGAGGAAUAAGCAUCGGCUAACUCCGUGCCAGCAGCCGCGGUAAUACGGAGGAUGCAAGCGUUAUCCGGAAUUAUUGGGCGUAAAGCGUCCGCAGGUGGCAUUUCCAGUCUGCUGUCAAAGACCAAGGCUCAACCUUGGGCAGGCAGUGGAAACUGAAAAGCUAGAGUGCGGUAGGGGUAGGGGGAAUUCCCAGUGUAGCGGUGAAAUGCGUAGAGAUUGGGAAGAACACCGGUGGCGAAAGCGCCCUACUAGGCCGCAACUGACACUCACGGUACGAAAGCUAUGGUAGCGAAUGGGAUUACAUACCCCC